CAAAUCUAAAAUGUGUGUAUGUGACAUAAGUUAAAAAGAAAGAUUUUAACAAACUUACGCAAUAGACAAUGUACAUGUACAAGUACAGCGAGGGGGGGAAAAAUUUUUUUUUUCUGGAAUCGAGAGACAUGAUAGAGCUGCCUUUUGAAAGUCUGCAAAAGGAAAAAGAAUAUUAGUUUUAGCUUCUAUAAAAAGCAGAAAUAGUAAGAGCGCUUCAGAAUUAUGCAAUUAAUGCUAUUUGCAUAGAGGAGAAAUUGAAGCGGAAAUUAAAUAUUCUGAAGAAUGCUACUUACUGGCUGUGAAUAGUAUGUAGAACUGGCUAUCAAAGUGUUUGAGAUGCCCUCUUUGAAGUAAAAACAAAGGCUGCUUCUGACUGUUAAGAUAUUGUGAUAGGCGGGAAUGAGGAGGGUUUAAAAUAAUUGGACUUCACACCUAGCUUUUUGUGUAGGAAGGGGUGGGUUAACCCCAGUUGUUGGAAGUCUUUUAGCUUCUGUCUGGUUUCCUGGGGUCCUGUGAACAAAUGCAGGAUAAUAAAUAAGGGAACAGACAGAAGAAGUGAGAGUGCAUAGGCUGCCCUGGAGGUCUGAGCCACAGAAACCCAAUGCUGUUAUUUUCAGCAUGGCUUUGGAAGAUUUGGCAUGUAAAAGAAAGAUUGUGAUUAUCCAGAGAGUCAGCAGGGAAUGGAAAGCAUUGCAAGUUCUUGGAGCAUCGCGUUUUUAGUUUAUGGUGUAACAGCUCAUGCUUUUAUCUCUUGAAGUUCCUCAUAAUGUUCCUUGUAAGAUAACCUUCCCUCAAUACUCUGUUUUUAAAAGCUAAUUGUAUUAUUUGAAGUAAUGUACAUUUUAACAGGGAAAAGAGAAGAAAAUCGAGUACUGUAAUGUCGAGUCAUAAAGACCCAAAGACUAUUUUAGAAGAUCUUGUAAUGAAGCAUGGAACUGAGGAUGUAAUUAGUAUGGCACAGAUCUUUGAUGAUGCAGCAACACGUAAGGCAAAAUCUACAAAGUUUUACUAACAUGCAUAUGCCAGUCAAACUAACUUAUAUCAUAAAAAUGUAAGUUCUAUCCUGUCAUGCUGUUUCCCAU
This 1082-nucleotide long non-coding RNA is filed under the name Struthio camelus australis. RNAcentral describes it as "lncRNA (ENSSCUG00000007874.1)". Lineage: Eukaryota; Metazoa; Chordata; Aves; Struthioniformes; Struthionidae. The record is from RNAcentral.